Long non-coding RNA from Poecilia latipinna (sailfin molly), 1445 nucleotides. RefSeq lists it as uncharacterized. NCBI's taxonomy places the organism in Eukaryota, Metazoa, Chordata, Actinopteri, Cyprinodontiformes, Poeciliidae. The transcript is spliced from 2 exons. The record is from RefSeq and is a predicted model, not a curated record.
UUUAUGACUUCAAUUAUUGUUUGAGUGGGAGACAAUAACCAUUAAUCAUCAGUGUUCACAUCGACUUGACACUCUAAAAAAUAUGGCUAAUGUUCAGGUUAGCAAGACGCAUGAUGAUAGCCCUGAUGAGGCUCUUUACUGCAGCAGAGGACAGACCUUUGUUCGUUUUGUAGGUACAUAUGUGUUUCAGUUUAUAAAAACACGUUACAUGUGCAUCGGAAUGGGUGUGAUUCAGGUCAAAGCGCAAUGUUGAGCUUUUACUUAAAAAAUGUGGCUUAGAGCUGCUGAAAACCCAAAAUUCAGUUUCUCUGAAAACUUGAAAUUUACAAAUUUGAGUAAGAGAUGGUUAUUAUCACUCUUAACGUUAUUGCCAAGAUCAUUCAUGGUAAGUUUAGUGGAAGGAAGAAGGCACCCAAGGAGCAGUGAUAACCUUGAUGGGAAUGGAAAGGAGAACUGAUUUAAGUAUUUUGGGAAGAUUCAUAAGAUGUCUACUGCACUUGGAGUCAGCAUAUCAAUAAUUGGUAUACAUAGAUGUAUUCAGGACAUACCCAAUGUUUUAGAGGAUUUUGUGUGUUGAUAAUUAAGUUGCUGAUUUCAUCUACCAGCAGGGGUUAGCACCUGCCCAUACUACUGAUUUAUUGACCAUGCUGAAUAAUGACUGCUGGCUGUUUAAUUUGUCAGCAUUUUACCCAAAUCCCAUGGGAAAUUGAUAUAGAAUUGUCAAGAGGAAAACAGGCCAAAGAUGUAGAUAAGUUGAAGGCCAACAAGCUUCCUGUAUUCAUCAGCAGUUCCACAUGCUGAUUGCCUCUGUAUCAUGCUACAUUGGUGAAGCUAUUCAUGCAAAAGGAUCUCUGACAAAGUAUUGCAUAUAUAUACUGUACACAGACAUACUUUGUAGGCCAAUGUCAUCUUUAUGUUUUUGAGAAAUGUAAUUUUGGGUUUUCAUUAGCUCUAAGUCAUAUUCAUCAAAAUAAACAUUUGAAAUGCAUCACCGUAUUUAAUGACUCGCUGCAUUUAACAUUUGAAAUUUCUAUUCUAAUUUAUUGAAAUGUGUGUGUACACAGAUGGACAUUAAUAUUAAAUGUGUCUUAUAUCAACAUUUUAUAAGGUGUUGAAAUUCCUCUUUUUUCCCACCUUUUAUCUUUUAAUUGCUCAAUUGCUGCUUCUUAGUAAUCAGUGGCACAAGUGAAGUGCAAAUAUAAUGAGUUGUUUCUUGGUUAUGUUAAUAUAUGCACUUCUAAACAUAACAUCUAACAAAUGCUAAUGAAGAGUAUUAGUCAAGGUAAGCAUAUCAUAAACAGGAAUUACUCGUCUUGCACUGGUAAGUAAUUGCAGCCGAUUCCAAAAUUAACUUGUCUGUUUGUUGAAACUCUGUUACACCCUAAACCUGCUGCUAAACAUACAGUUCCCAGCAAGAACAAAGCAAUGUUUGCUGAUUAAAACAA